This 264-nucleotide ribosomal RNA is filed under the name uncultured bacterium. RNAcentral's name for it is "partial 16S ribosomal RNA". It matches the Rfam family "Bacterial small subunit ribosomal RNA", at positions 793 to 1055 of the family's 1533-position model. The record is from RNAcentral.
GUCCACGCCCUAAACGAUGUCAACUGGGUGUUCGGGAAGCGAUUCCUGGGUACCGUAGCUAACGCGAGAAGUUGACCGCCUGGGGAGUACGGCCGCAAGGUUAAAACUCAAAGGAAUUGACGGGGACCCGCACAAGCGGUGGAUGAUGUGGAUUAAUUCGAUGCAACGCGAACAACCUUACCUACCCUUGACAUGUCCGGAACCCUGCUGAGAGGUGGGGGUGCCCGAAAGGGAAUCGGAACACAGGUGCUGCAUGGCUGUCGU